GAAACCGACCUGGCUCACACCGGUUUAAACUCAGAUCAUGUAAAAUUUUAAAGGUCGAACAGACCUCCCUUACUAACUUCUUCGCCAGUAAUUAAUUUUAAUCCAACAUCGAGGUCGCAAUCUAUUUUUCCGAUAAGAACUCUCAAAAUAAUUACGCUGUUUUCCCUAAGGUAAUUUAAUCUUAUAAUCUAAAAUUUAGGAUCAUACAUUUACAAAUAAAUAUUUAAAUAAAAAAAAAGUUAGAUUAAUUUUUUUGUCACCCCAACAAAACACCUAUUUUAAAUCCUAGACAAAACAAACCUAAAGUCCAAAAAAUAAAACACAUGUCAAACUCUAUAGGGUCUUCUCGUCUUCUAUAACACAUUUAAGCUUUUUUACUUAAAAAUAAAAUUCAAAUAAAUUUUAACAGAGACAGCCAUUCUUUCAUUGUACCUUUCAUACAAGCUUCCAAUUAAAAAACUAGUGAUUAUGCUACCUUUGCACGGUCAAUAUACCGCGGCCAUUUAACAUCUCAGUGGGCAGGUCAGACCUAAAAUUAUCUUCAACAGGCC
RNAcentral lists this ribosomal RNA (551 nucleotides) under Trigonopterus cuprescens. RNAcentral's name for it is "partial 16S ribosomal RNA". Lineage: Eukaryota; Metazoa; Arthropoda; Insecta; Coleoptera; Curculionidae. The record is from RNAcentral.